UUCAGCAUUUACUAACUAGCACUUGUCGAUGGGAAAUUAUAAAUCUUAAAGGCAAGUUACAGCUCCGAAACUCCAUUUGCAUAAGCUGUUGAUUCAUAGUUUUAAAAAAAUGCAUGUACAUUUUUAUGCAAUUUUUAUAAAAGCAAUAAGCCACCUCUGAGGCUGUGUAUUUGACUGUAAAGGAGUCCAAACUGGAUUCACUCUGGUGUGUCUUUCUUUGUUUUUCUUCUGUCUCCAGUAGCAACAGAUAUGAUUGACAGCUGCAUUCUAAAGGCCUGUCUCCAUGGGAACAAGCGUGACCUUUUGCACACGGGUUUGUGAUGGUGGGAUCUCAUGUUUACGGCCUCAGUCUCACAACAUUGCAUCACUGUUGGCUCUUGAAGCAGGAGGAGUGUUGAGCUGCUGAUUGGUUCUUAACCCCGGGUCGGAGCUCUUGAUUGGUCGGUGUGUUGUUAUUGAUCGUAGAAUCACUUUCAGGGUAAUUUCUGUCUUGUGGAGGGAAAAGGUGAGUCACGAGAAAAACAGAAAAACCUUCAGAGACAUCAGAUGAAUCACGCUGAGGAAACUCACACCAGGGUUAUCAUCAGCAGGACUGUUAUCAUUAACUAAAACCAUAAAAAAACAUGCUCAAUACUUGAAAUAAUCAUUAAAUGAAAUAAUAAAAAACUUAAACUCCUUUUAUUUCAGCUAGCUGCGAAGGCAACAUUUCUUAGUUUUAUUUAGAUUAAGCUAAAAUACACUCAAAAUGUAAUAUAUACAGUGCUUUAACUGGGCCUGAACACACCUGUACUCAGUACCGCCACUUCCAAAUAUAGCUAUUGAGCGUACCACCACCUCUCCGUGUGCCCAGAACCUGCUUUUAGUGUACCGGUACGUUCAUUUGGACAUCUGUUUUAAUAGAGGUUUUAAUCCUUUGCCUUCAAUGCCGCUUUUCAGAGCGCCCUUCACAAUGCACGCUUCCUAAUUCUUCCUAGUUCGGAGUAUGGAGCGUGAAUCAUUUGAGUCAGUUCGGGACUUCGUAGCGGGUUCGCGAAUCAUUUGAGUCAGUUCGGGAGUUCGGAUCGGGUUCGCGAAUCAUUUGAGUCAGUUCGGGAGUUCGGAUCGGGUUCGCGAAUCAUUUGAGUCAGUUCGGGAGUUCGGAUCGGGUUCGCGAAUCAUUUGAGUCAGUUCGGGAGUUCGGA
This 1181-nucleotide long non-coding RNA is filed under the name Carassius auratus (goldfish). RNAcentral describes it as "lncRNA (ENSCARG00000038259.1)". The record is from RNAcentral. Lineage: Eukaryota; Metazoa; Chordata; Actinopteri; Cypriniformes; Cyprinidae.